Molecule: non-coding RNA, 746 nt
Organism: Chiloscyllium plagiosum (whitespotted bambooshark)
Lineage: Eukaryota; Metazoa; Chordata; Chondrichthyes; Orectolobiformes; Hemiscylliidae
Source: RefSeq, a predicted model, not a curated record
AUCUGCAGUCAUUGUUUUUACCACCAUGAUGAGAGUGUGUGCCGAGUCCCUGUGUUAUACAAGAGAUCCCUUCUGGGUUAAAUCUAUUUGUCCAUAUCCCUCCCCUGUGUAAAGAUCUUGUAAAGACAGCUGCUGUUGCAAAAGUGUAAAUUAUCGCCUGCAAAUUUUUUUUAAAAAAAGACUGGCUUUAUUCUUAGCAGAAAAUAUCGAGAAACCGAAAGUAAAACGAACUGUCCUUCGAGCCGGAAUCGAACCAGCGACCUAAGGAUAUCCUGCAGUUGUAGCCUCUACAGUCCUCCGCUCUACCAGCUGAGCUAUCGAAGGCGUUGGAAACUCGAUCCUACUGGACCCAGUAACAAAUGAGAAGGCUGUGGGAGGGUUUUCAGCAUCCGCAGCUCUUUUGUUGGGCUUUUUGUGCGUUAAUUGCGGAUUCUGGUCCGUGAACUUGCAUUUCCAGAUUAAGCAGCCUUCCAGCGGUGGGACUUCUGAGGAUAUAGUAAAAGGCCUUGGCCCAUACCACACGGCCUUCAGUGACCACUGUAGUAGCGGAGGAGUAGCAGGCUGAAGGAGGCAUCCAGACUAUCAUUGCUUUGGAUGGAGUGCUCCUGAGUGUUUUUCUCCUGCAACAUGAUGCUGCUGUACAGGAGGAUUAGCAACAUGAGGCUGCAGCACAACUGGAAUCUCCCCAUCUGCAACAACAAAGCAACAGGAAGUCUGAAUCAAAGUCUGAAUCAAUGCAUUAAAAU